RNAcentral lists this ribosomal RNA (425 nucleotides) under uncultured bacterium. RNAcentral's name for it is "bacterial SSU rRNA". It matches the Rfam family "Bacterial small subunit ribosomal RNA", at positions 354 to 796 of the family's 1533-position model. The record is from RNAcentral.
GUGGGGAAUAUUGGACAAUGGGCGCAAGCCUGAUCCAGCAAUGCCGCGUGAGUGAUGAAGGCCUUAGGGUUGUAAAGCUCUUUCGCCCGCGACGAUGAUGACGGUAGCGGGAGAAGAAGCCCCGGCUAACUUCGUGCCAGCAGCCGCGGUAAUACGAAGGGGGCGAGCGUUGUUCGGAUUUACUGGGCGUAAAGGGCGCGUAGGCGGCCCUCCUUGUCGCGUGUGAAAGCCCCGGGCUCAACCUGGGAAUUGCGCGCGAAACGGGGGGGCUUGAGUUCGGGAGAGGAGCGUGGAAUUCCCAGUGUAGAGGUGAAAUUCGUAGAUAUUGGGAAGAACACCGGUGGCGAAGGCGGCGCUCUGGACCGAGACUGACGCUGAGGCGCGAAAGCGUGGGGAGCAAACAGGAUUAGAAACCCCAGUAGUCC